RNAcentral lists this ribosomal RNA (441 nucleotides) under uncultured bacterium. RNAcentral describes it as "bacterial SSU rRNA". It matches the Rfam family "Bacterial small subunit ribosomal RNA", at positions 29 to 507 of the family's 1533-position model. The record is from RNAcentral.
AACGAACGCUGGCGGCAGGCCUAACACAUGCAAGUCGAACGUGAAGCCACCUUCGGGUGGUGGAAAGUGGCAGACGGGUGAGUAACGCGUGGGAACGUGCCCUUCGGUUCGGGAUAACCCAGGGAAACUUGGGCUAAUACCGGAUACGCCCUCCGGGGGAAAGAUUCAUCGCCGAAAGAUCGGCCGCGUCGGAUUAGCUAGUUGGUGGGGUAAUUGCCUACCAAGGCGACGAUCCGUAGCUGGUCUGAGAGGAUGAUCAGCCACACUGGGACUGAGACACGGCCCAGACUCCUACGGGAGGCAGCAGUGGGGAAUAUUGGACAAUGGGCGCACGCCUGAUCCAGCCAUGCCGCGUGGGUGAAGAAGGCCCUAGGGUUGUAAAUCCCUUUCAGCGGGAAGAUAAUGACGGUACCCGCAGAAGAAGCCCCGGCUAACUCCGUG